Molecule: long non-coding RNA, 2121 nt
Organism: Musa acuminata AAA Group (dessert banana)
Lineage: Eukaryota; Viridiplantae; Streptophyta; Magnoliopsida; Zingiberales; Musaceae
Exons: 4
Source: RefSeq, a predicted model, not a curated record
AAUCGUUGAUAUUUGCAAUAGACCCCCGCAAUUAUCGAUCCCAUGACGCUGAACUCGGUGACUCCUUUCGUCUGGUGCCGCCUCGCCGUCGUCGCUCCUCCCCUGCUCUCAGCGCCUUCCUCACCAUCGCUGAUCAGCGUCUGCUCCGUCUCCAACGCCCUCAGGUGAAGGCGACUGGUUGGACAUUUCUCUAUAGCACAGGCAAGUUUGCUGAAAUCCAUCAUCGAUCAAACUGGGACUUGGGCCAGCCUCUUGAAGGCCCUUAUGGUCUAGAUCGAUUCCGCGAAAGCCGUCUUGUUUGAAUGGGCUGGUUCGAUUUGGAAGGAUCCAAAUUAGAUGUGCCAACGAACGAGAUGACGGAUCGUCGGGGUGUUGCUAGGAACUCGCAGCACAUCGCCUCCAAGCUGUUCGACGCUAUUCCUCUGAAGGAACAACGCCUUGAUAUUCGCGCUUGCACUAUUCGGGCUGGGAAGCUUCACAAAGCGGGUUGCACCGUACGGUAAGGCCAGGAAACCCGUGGCCGCUGACUCUUAGUUUGUACUGAUACAACAAUAUGCUCUUCGGAAGACCCUAUCGGCACAUGUAUGUGGAAGGUUGGCCAAUCCAAUAUUCCCCACUAGUAUAAGAUGGCAAAAGUGGGGGUAGGGAGGAUAUAUAAAAAGAGCCCAACGAAUGAAGUGCCUUUCCUCUUUUCUUCUGGUGGCCGUCCACGAAUAAUGCGCUUGGUGACUCCACAGGUUCCAAAGGUGAUUGAAUGGGGAAGGAAAGAUGAGAUGGGAAAUGGGUGUUGUAUAUCUAAAGUUAGUUCGUGCAUUAUUUAUAUGUUAUCUGUUUGACCAUCCAAUUCACGAUGCUGCCAAGCCUACUUUUCUCGAGGCCUUCUUCUCACAUGUGAGCAGUUCCGAUCCCUUCUGAAAUUGAUGGGAUUGCUCAGCAGCAGUAGCCAACAAUACUAUUACGGCACGGUUCUACAUGGCCUGUCGACCUCAAGCUAGUCCGGAUGAGCACGGAGGCCGCAUGCAAUGGGUGAUACCACAACCUUUUCGCCUUUGGGCCACAAGACUUUUGUGCACUACGUGGACCUGACUGAUCGCAGCAUCGAGAUUGUUAGUUGUUAACUUCGCAUUUAAUCUGAGGAUUGGAACACCUCGACGUGAACUCUGCUCAUUCAAGAUGAUGCAAUGGAUAAGGUAUGGACAUGACCAGAGCUUCAUACUGCUAUAUAAUAUGAUUGUUCGUUUGUUUCGUAGGCAAUGGCACAAACACUCUUUCUUAAUGGGAUUACUUGGGACUGCCGUGCACCUCGGUCGGGCGAGAAAGAGAAGAAUGUAUCAGUUACAUGAUUGGCCAAGCAUCUUUUUCUCCAUUGCCCCACCAUCUUCACAUUAUUAGUGUAUACUGUUCUCGUGGCCCUUUGUUAAGUCAAAGGUGGUGGGAAGAGAUGAGUUCCGUCGUCGAGGUUCAGAAGAUGGAGGAAUGAUGAUGGCACAGAGUAACAGUAAUAUUAAAGCAGGUUGGAGUUGUCCUCAUCCUCUACUGUGAUGGUGAUGGUGAUGGUGAUGGUUCGGAAAGAACACAUCGACCCUGUAUGCGCUGCAACAACACAACUAUUUGCUCUAUCCAUCUCCAUCGAACAGAAGCUGCCACAGUUCCUUCACUGGGGACCUCCGUAUUCCUUUACAAUGCACCUCCCUAUAUUGCUCGGCGAAACAUGUUGGUGCUGCUAUUUCCAAGUUCCACACCAAACAUGAGAACACAAGUGUCGGUCCGCAACCUUGUGGGGCUGAAGUUGACUUUGACCCCUACAUUUUUCUGACUUUGACUUGAGACCUUGGCGUCAAAGUGCUCAACCCGCUCCCCACCCCCCGCCCCUCUUCUCGUGCGAAGCCAAGACGAAGCAUCAAGUGUACGUGCAGUUUGGCACGGGUCACUAUGGCACAUUAAAUGGAGACCUCGGCAGCGAUCUAAAGAGUGAGGAUUGAGACCGACCUCAGCCUCUUUGUUUUAUCUACCACUGUUGAAUAGAACUCUAACGACAACAUGGAUUCCAAUAUGGAAAAAUGGCAUUGCAAGAACCAUGCAAUUGUCGAGGAAGAAAAGUAUUAGCUUGGCAUUUGUGAA